This 253-nucleotide ribosomal RNA is filed under the name uncultured bacterium. RNAcentral describes it as "partial 16S ribosomal RNA". It matches the Rfam family "Bacterial small subunit ribosomal RNA", at positions 524 to 776 of the family's 1533-position model. The record is from RNAcentral.
UACGAAGUGGGCUAGCGUUGCUCGGAAUCACUGGGCGUAAAGCGCACGUAGGCGGCUUGUUAAGUCAGGGGUGAAAUCCUGGAGCUCAACUCCAGAACUGCCUUUGAUACUGGCGAGCUUGAGUCCGGGAGAGGUGAGUGGAACUGCGAGUGUAGAGGUGAAAUUCGUAGAUAUUCGCAAGAACACCAGUGGCGAAGGCGGCUCACUGGCCCGGUACUGACGCUGAGGUGCGAAAGCGUGGGGAGCAAACAGG